RNAcentral lists this unclassified non-coding RNA (359 nucleotides) under fungal sp. RNAcentral describes it as "partial internal transcribed spacer region". The stretch from base 1 to 46 matches the Rfam family "Eukaryotic small subunit ribosomal RNA", at positions 1786 to 1831 of the family's 1831-position model. The record is from RNAcentral. Lineage: Eukaryota; Fungi.
AAGUCGUAACAAGGUCUCCGUAGGUGAACCUGCGGAGGGAUCAUUAACACAAGUGAGCAGCACCAGUGGUGGGACUCGCAAGAGGACCAAUGCUGGUGUUGACACUUUUCUCAACACCCAUCGAACGUGAACUACUAUGACCCUUUCUUUUUUCUUCGCAGCCAGCCCUGUGCUGCUGCUGUGAUGAUUAUUUUCAUUUUUGAAAUGAAACCCUUUCCAAUGUUUAUAACACUUGUAACUGUGCUGGAGUCUGUGUGUGUAGUGCAAGCUCGCACCCGUCUCUGAAACUAUUACGAACUAUAAUGAGUACAACUCUUAGCAACGGAUAUCUUGGUUCUCGCUACGAUGAAGAAUGCAGC